UGAACCCACCGCCAGGAACCGGUUAUCUGGACUGAACCUGGACCAAAACAGACCAAUCGUAACCCAGCACAGAGGAGACGAGAAAUAUCUGGGUCCUACGGUCCCAGAUUCUGAUAGUCCCGUCAUCGCUGGCUGAGAUGAAGACGUCUUUGAAAGGGUGAGCUGUUAAACCCCAGAUCCCUCCCUGAGUGUGUCCGUUGAUCAUGGUGUUGGAGGCAGCAUUCUUCUCUCCAACCUCGAUGAUCUCCCCGUCUUUGGUUCCCACCAGGAUUUUACCCUUAGACCAGAGAGAAUCAACAGAAAACGGAUCGGACGUUCUCCACCGGCUGGCCAGUCUCCAGCUGAAACGCUCGGCAACGCUUCAUCUCCUGGUCCCAGAGCUUCACAGCACCGCCCUCUUUGGUCCUGAGAACACCAACAUCAUUAAAGGAUCCCCAACAUGAACCUCAACACUGUCCAUCUGUUGUUUAUCAAUCUAAACUAGAAGCUGCAUCACCUGAGUAGGAUGUCCGUCCGUUUAUAUUUAUUCAAUAAAGAGCAGUGCCACAAGG
Molecule: long non-coding RNA, 551 nt
Organism: Mugil cephalus (flathead mullet)
Lineage: Eukaryota; Metazoa; Chordata; Actinopteri; Mugiliformes; Mugilidae
Exons: 3
Source: RefSeq, a predicted model, not a curated record